CCUACGGGAGGCAGCAGUGGGGAAUAUUGCACAAUGGGGGAAACCCUGAUGCAGCGACGCCGCGUGAGUGAAGAAGUACUUCGUUAUGUAAAGCUCUAUCAGCAGGGAAGAAAAUGACGGUAGCUGAGUAAGAAGCCCCGGCGAACCACGUGCCAGCAGCCGCGGUAAUACGUAGGGGGCAAGCGUUAUCCGGAUUUACUGGGUGUAAGGGGAGCGUAGAGGGCAGUGCAAGUCUGGAGGGAAAGGCGGGGGCUCAACCCGCGAACUGCCCUUGAAACUGUACGGCUGGAGUGCAGGAGGGGUAAGUGGAAUUCCUAGUGUAGCGGUGAAAUGCGUAGAUAUUAGGAGGAACACCAGUGGCGAAGGCGGCUUACUGGACUGUAACUGACGUUGAGGCUCGAAAGCGUGGGGAGCAAACAGGAUUAGAUACCCUUGUAGUC
RNAcentral lists this ribosomal RNA (440 nucleotides) under uncultured bacterium. RNAcentral's name for it is "partial 16S ribosomal RNA". It matches the Rfam family "Bacterial small subunit ribosomal RNA", at positions 338 to 795 of the family's 1533-position model. The record is from RNAcentral.